Molecule: long non-coding RNA, 3355 nt
Filed under: Zostera marina
Lineage: Eukaryota; Viridiplantae; Streptophyta; Magnoliopsida; Alismatales; Zosteraceae
Description: long non-coding RNA (ZMAR_LNC006038)
Source: RNAcentral
GUGCUUGAUAAAUCUUCUGAAUCCACAGAAGAUGAGGGAAAAACACUGGAAUCCACCAGAAAAUACAAGAGAAGAGAAAGAGAAGAUAGAAGGUUUAUUACCUGUCCAGGAAAUAACAACUUUAACAAAUAAAUCAAAAACUGUCAAUUCCAUCCUCUAUCCUCCAUAUAUAUACUCUCCAUGUAAUGAUGGGCCUUCUUUAAAGGAAAUGGGUUAUUGGUCCAUGUUUGAUUUAAAGGAAAUGGCCUCUUUCCUAGUGCCAUUAUGGAUGUGCUACAUCAGGCACCCCUUCUUUAAGUACAAUUGCCCUCAAUUGUUGCUCUGGAUGACAUUUCUCCUCCAUUUUCAGCUUGUCUUUCUUGAUGCUAUCCACUCGAAUGAUGUAGUGGUUCGAUCGUCCCUUGUGAGUGGCAUCAAUAUCUCACCAUCAAGGUCUGCCCGGAUCAGGUGGAAAACGUCUUCUCCAAUCUGUUGUAAAAAUUGUAGUAGGUCUACUGAAUUCUUUGCCCAGCCACGACUUCAACCAUUCAGUGAUAGAAACAACAGCAUGAUCCCUCCCAUUUGUGUGCCAUUAAGCCUUUCAUGUCCAUCCAAAUAUUAGUAAAGUAGCUGAUACCAACAUGGUCUUUGGGAAGGGAUCGUCUUUCCUGUUCAUUCCUUUCCAAUAUAGCGAGCUCACUUCCAGCAAUCACACUGCUUAUGCACCUUGCCAAGCAGUGUAUAUUAUCAUUAAACCCACUAAUGUUUACAUCAUAAGAAGCCGUGUUCCAGAUAUUGGAUGCUAUAAAUGCAGCACAUAAACAAGGAAAUGGACUCCAGGAACUAUCACUUAAACCAACCUUUGACAUAGUUGAAUAAAUGCACUCUGUAUCAUGGUCCUCUAUCACUCCAAUGUCAUUGGCCACUGUCCUCAGCCUUUUUAUUUCAUCUUUUUCAGAAAUCUCGUCACUUAACUGCUUCACAACUCCAGAAAGCAGUGAAACAAACAAAGGAGCUUUCUCUUCUAGGAUCGCUUUAGCAGAUUCUACCAGCAAGCAUCGAAAGGUUAAGACAUGUCCAACCUGGAUGCAAAAUCCAAUCACUGUUUCAAUGUCCAGAAUUUGCUUCAAAUUUGUUUCUCUUUCUACUUUUCCACAGGAAUUAAUAUUCUUAGAAAUUGCCUCAAGUGCAUGAUGAUUAGACCAUAGACUAGUUUCAAUGGAGUUUAAAAGUGAAACAGCAUUUUUUCUCACCAUUCUAUCUAGUGUAUCAAAUCCAUAGCCACCAAAAAUAUGAAAUAUGCUUUUCAAUUCUCUUAUAUUAGUAAAUGCCUCUGCAGUAUUACCUUCAAAAGCCUUAGAGCUCUUGAAACCAUAUGCUUGAAACAGUUAUGAAAGGGUACGAAAUAGACAUCAGCACCAAUUGUAUCUUUUACGAUAUUCUCAAUGUACCAAUUGCAAACAAUUUCUAACGCAGAUCCACUAUUUUGAUCUGCAAUGUUAACAUUUUGUUGCAAAGAAGAAACUGGGCCCAAAAAUAUUUCAGACAAUAAGAUAUCUCGAAUACCCUCUGUCAGAUCCAUGCUGAUGUGUUGUUCUGCUAGAUGAAUGAUUCUAAUAUGCCUUCUAAUCAGAGAUUCUACAACAGAAGGGCGUUGAAGGCAGUUUUCUAUUCUCAGUACCAUAAGAAGCCUCUUCCUAAAAUUGGCAAGAAAGCAGUCCCUCAUGUACUCCCGUAGAACAAAUACAUGAUUCAGAACACGUAUUGGCUCCAUGUCAUUCAAAACCGAGCACAGACUUGUUAGUCUUUGUGUUGCAGCUUCUAACACUUUCACAGAAAUAUUGCCAGACCGACAACUCUCAUAUCCAGGUAAGCCAUGAACACCUUUGGUUGAUUUUACAGAACUGGUGGAAACUUUGCUUGCUUGAAUCAUACGAAUAACUGCUUAGUCUGGAUGAAGCUGCAUCUCUAGAGAAGCAAAUCCACUGUCUGAAUCUAAGGUAUUGACCAGACCUUCCAAACCACCCAUUAUGGAUUCAAUUAAUGGUUCAACAUAAUACAAAGAGUCUCGACCUAUUUUAUUUAACUGAAUCUUAUGAUUGAAUGCAACCAAUAACUUUCCAUUGCAAGCAUUUAAUGAGUAAACAGCCCCUUUAGCUUCCCUUGAAAAAAUCUGGACAGUUUUGUCUGUCCACAUUCCAACAGUUUUAUUUAACUUCUCGAUACUGAUUUCCGGAUAGGCCAAAUGCUUACCACCAGUGGUUACUGAAAUCUUUCCUUCCGGUUUUUUAAAACAGCUCACGUCUUCCAUCUUGCUACUGCUUUGAAGUAACCUCUCCAAAUCAUAUAAUCGGGCUUCAGCAACAGCUACCUUUUUUCCAGCAAUAGAGACAGCACGCACUGAAUCAGAUAUCUCCCCAUAUAGCUUCCUUGAAAGAUCUUCAGAUGCCUGUAGCGAAUCAGAGCUUUCCUGAAAUUUUCUUUGAUAAUCUAUCGCCUCAUUUCUUGACUUUGUUAACUCUUCUUCAAGAGACUUAUUACGUUGUGCAAGGUUAUUUAGUGUAACCUUUGCAGAUUCAUGAUCUGAGAUAAUUUGUUCUAAGUCAUACCUUUCCUCUGCAAGUAACUUCACCUCCUUGCGUAAACACCGCCGAUCAGAUUUUAGGAGUUUGAUCUCCUUGGUCUUUUCGUCCAACUCCAUUUCCAGGAAGUCAACAAAAUCUUCAAGCUCUGCGUUCUUCCUAAUCAUCCUCUCCCAAUCCCAAGCGAGACUGCCCUUGUACUGCCGGGAAUGUUGAAGUCGUACCUCCAUUGCAGAAUUGGAUUGCUUCAAGCCUAGAAGUUGAAGCUUUUUUUUGAUCUUGCACUGUUCUGGCGAUGAACAGUACCUCGCCGGCAAACACUGUUCCGACGAUGAACAGUACUCGUCGAUAAACAGUGUUUUGAGGGUGCCCUAGUUCUGAUCCUUUUUUCUUAAGAUUUCCUCACACUGUCUUCAAACUCUACCGAUCGUUUCCCCUUGAUUAUUUUUUUUGAUCUGAGGAGAAGAUUGGCUCUGAUACCACCUGAUGCAGCUGAUCUUAGUGAAGAUCAGGUGCUUGAUAAAUCUUCUGAAUCCACAGAAGAUGAGGGAAAAACACUGGAAUCCACCAGAAAAUACAAGAGAAGAGAAAGAGAAGAUAGAAGGUUUAUUACCUGUCCAGGAAAUAACAACUUUAACAAAUAAAUCAAAAACUGCCAAUUCCAUCCUCUAUCCUCCAUAUAUAUACUCUCCAUGUAAUGAUGGGCCUUCUUUAAAGGAAAUGGGUUUUUGGUCCAUGUUUGAUUUAAAGGAAAUGGCCUCUUUCCUAGUGCCAUUAUGGAUGUGCUACAUCAG